GACGAACGCUGGCGGCGUGCUUAACACAUGCAAGUCGAGCGGUAAGGCCCUUUCGGGGGUACGACGAGCGGCGAACGGGUGAGUAACACGUGGGUGACCUGCCCUCAGCUCUGGGAUAAGCCUGGGAAACCGGGUCUAAUACUGGACAUGACUCCAUGACGCAUGUUGUGGGGUGGAAAGCCUUGUGCGGCUGAGGAUGGGCCCGCGGCCUAUCAGCUUGUUGGUGGGGUGANGGCCUACCAAGGCGACGACGGGUAGCCGGCCUGAGAGGGCGACCGGCCACACUGGGACUGAGACACGGCCCAGACUCCUACGGGAGGCAGCAGUGGGGAAUCUUGCGCAAUGGGCGAAAGCCUGACGCAGCGACGCCGCGUGAGGGAUGAC
RNAcentral lists this ribosomal RNA (384 nucleotides) under uncultured bacterium. Its description in RNAcentral is "bacterial SSU rRNA". It matches the Rfam family "Bacterial small subunit ribosomal RNA", at positions 28 to 412 of the family's 1533-position model. The record is from RNAcentral.